RNAcentral lists this long non-coding RNA (3726 nucleotides) under Nicotiana tabacum (common tobacco). RNAcentral describes it as "long non-coding RNA (NTAB_LNC001304)". The record is from RNAcentral. Lineage: Eukaryota; Viridiplantae; Streptophyta; Magnoliopsida; Solanales; Solanaceae.
AGACACUUAAAACGACCCUAAAUUUCUAAACAUAUGGGGGAGCCGUAUUUUCUAAUUUUAAAAAACCCUACACAAGAACCUUAUCAUCUUCUUCACCUUUGAACACCCAAAACACUAGAGACCCCAAACCCUAGCAACCAAGAACCCAUUAGCAGCCAAACACAACCACCCUCCAACCGCUAGCCGUCUUCCCCAAACACCAUAUUUCUUUCUUCCUCACCUUGCAGCAACCAGCCCGUUGGCGACCCCUUCAACACCAACCACCCAACCCCAAUGAGAUCCCUUCAUCUCUCACACAUAAACCAACAGAAGCAGACUACCACCCUCCCCAUUUCUAACCAUGAACCAGCCGCCCAAACCCGCCAAAAACUCGUCGGAACUCCUCUAGUGGCGCCAGGUCUAGACGCAGCCAUAGUCACCGUCUGCCAACCACUCCCGUUCUACCAUAACCUGCUGCAAGACACAGACACAAGAAUAGACGAAAAAAAGAGAAAAUCUGGGCAGAAAAUUAAUUAAAAAAAGUUGUUCUUGUGGUUCUGGUUUCCAAACUGGAGUGGAUUUGAAAUGUGUUUUUCGAUCGUUGGAGUUGUUGUUUGAGGUCUAUAAUCUGUUGUUCGAUCCCGAAUUUGGAAUACAUCUGAGGUCUUGUUCGCGUUUUGGUAUGCGGUUCCGGUGUAGAUUUGACAUUGUUUCAAAAAUUUGUGCAGCAAUAAAGGUCCAUUUCUGAGCUUCUCUGUUUCGUUUUAAUGGUUUCUUGUUGCUUUUUUGAUUUUAAUUGAUGUUCAGAUGAAGUAGCUAUAUGUAGGUGCUUUGUAAAUAAUUUGAAGUUUUUUAAUGUUUGAUUAUCGGAUGGAAUGCGUUCGAUUUAGUAACUUAGUGUUUUGAUUUUCGUUGUUCAAUUUAGAUAGAUAAUCUGUUGCUUAAUCAUUUGACGUUUUCACUAAUUAAAAGGCAUGUGGUUGUUGCGUUCAUAUAUACAAUGGACCAUGGAUUCAGUUUCAAGGAUAUUUGUUGGAAUUGGUAAAAUUGAUUUAUUAUAUGAUGGACCAUCUAACAUAGAGUGGACCACUUGGUUUGAAUCAUGAGUGGGCUACCGGGUGUUUUCUUUAGGAAAAUAACUCAUGAAUAUCGUAGCUUGCUUUAGGCACGAUUAAUUAAAUCAGCAUAGCUACGGGUACGGUUCCCAUGACGUAGUUGUGAUACAUAAUUUCCGAAUCCGGAUGCACAUUUUAUGUGAUCCGACCGUAAUUCUGAAUAAUAAUAAAGUUAAACAUGUUGUAGAUUGCGGGUACGGUUCUCGUGAUGCAAUUCACAAUUUAUACGAAAUAAACGAGUGUGUGACAUCGCGACUUGUUCCAACCUAUUCCAUAAAUAAUUAAAAGCGAUUUUUUGAAAAGAUUAAAAAUGCACAAUAGUCUUAAUGCUUGUAUUAAACCAGAUAAUUAGGCCAAUAUUAAUAGUUGAGUGACCGUGCUAAAACCACGGAAUACGGGAAUGCCUAACACCUUCUCCCGGGUUAACAUAAUUCCUUACCCGGAUUUUUGUGUUUCGCGGACAGUAAACCAGAGUCAAACUUCCUCGAUUUGGGAUUUUAAACCGGUAACUUGGGACACCGUAAAUUAUCCCAAGUGGAGACUCUGAAUUUUAAUAAAUAAUCCUAUUUCGAUUAUUGUCACUUUAAUUGAAAAAACUCUCAUAUCUCCCUCUGGCGACUCUGCUGGGGAUCGAACCCAGAAUCUCUGGUUCAUGGUUCAAGAAUUUGAGCUUAGAAUAACUGUUAUAUUUGGCUUUUAUUUAUUAUCUAAUUUUUAUUAAAUGUUUGGGCCUAAUGUACUAAAUGUCAUUUUUUACCGCUUUGAUAUUAUUUGAACUGUAUAUAAACUGCUGCGAAACCCUUCUCUUCUAAUCUUCUUGGAAGUGCACGCUAGCGUGACUUCUUUUCUGUUAGUGUCAUACCCUAAUUUAGAACGAGGAUCGGAUCAGUUACAAAGUCGGAUGACCUUUUGGUUACCGGUACGUUGCCCCCCUCGGCUCGAGUUGUCCACUCGGGUAAGCCAGGUCCAGAACAAUACACCCAGGUUUUAAACCUAGAAUAACAUAGCCUCAUGCCGGACCCUAGUAGAAACGUUUGUUUGCAUCACGUGCAUUUAACUUAGAGGACUCAACACAGGGGUUGGGUCCGUCUAGGACAGGUGUACCCAAAAAUAAAAGACCAUCCUGAUGUAUCCUAUGUGCUACAUGUUGCAACCUUCAAGGGUAAAAGGGGUCAUUUGGCAGACCAAUAAUGGAUGAGAGUAAAUGAGAGAAAAUAGGGUGAAGUAUAAAAAUAAAGCAAGUAGGACCUAGUCAUGUUUUUCUUUCACAUUUUUUUAAGAAAAAGACAAAAAAAACAUGAAAAAUCCAAAAAGAUUUUGCACUUUCCAAUAAUUUUCUAAAAAAAAACAAAAAACAAAAAAGGGAAAAAGAAAAUCCAAAAAGAGUUUACAUGUUUCAUCAUUUUUCAAAAAAAAAAGACAAAAAAUAUAUUUUAUCUAAAUUAGUUAUUUUUUUAUUCUCACCCGUAUAGAAUCUUCCCGAACUACACAUACCAGAUUCUCGUCUUUCAGUGCGUGAUACGUGGGCAGACAACAUAGGGUCUGGUCAUCUUAGUGAGUCUUAGGUUCUUGUCUUCGAGGAUCGUAGCCAAAUCUUGCAUCUUUAGCCACUUUUGGCCUCAUCGGCCAUUUUGCAAAAUAGGGCUAUUUUCGCAAAGUGGCUUGUUUAAUUUUGUCUGGAGAGUCUUCAAUCCACAAUUAGGUGUCUCUUUACUUUAAGGUCCGUCCUUGUCGAAUUUGCAUGUCUAGCCGUUUUUGGCCACAUAGGCCGCUUUGCAGAAUAGGGCUAAUUUUGUAAAAAUGGUUCAAUUAACCCAUGUCUUAGAGUCCUAGGUCCACAACAAAGUGUCCUCUCUGUUUAAGGUCCAUUCUGUUGAAUUUGCAAUGCUUAGCCAUUUUCUGGCCACAUAGGCUAUUUCUACAAAAUCAGUCAUUUCUCUAAAGUAAUUUUUUCAUGUCUUAGAGGUCACCUUUAUUGAGUUUGCACUUCUAGCUGCCUUUUGGGUACGUGGCUAUUUUGCACAAUCAUGUCUUGAAUGUGUCCAAUAGGGAGUGUUAUUGUCUCACAAAGAGUUCUAAAUCCUUACUCUAUUUGGUUUUAGUUUUCUUAUACAGGUGUGGAUCUACUUACCGGAGUUUGAGCAUGGCAAAUACCUCAGGACCAUCUGGUCAGGACCGUUGCACCCAGGAGUUGUUUAAGGAGAUCUUUUAUGUUUUGAGUCUGUUUCUUUUUAUGUUGUCUUGUACUUUAUAGUCAUGUCUAGUAGUAAUGAUUCUUUUAGUUAGUGUCGGAGUUUGUCGUAGUAUAGUUGAGUUGAGUCUUUUGUUAUCAUAUUUCCUGUUUUUUAUUUGAAAAAAAAGUUUUAAUGAAUAAUCCACAAAGAUUUUAUUUUUUUUUUAGUUUAAUUUAUCCAUUACUUUUCCGAAAUACGCAAAGAUCUGAUUCAUGUGGAACAUGAUACGUAGGCAACCUACAUAGGGUUCGAUCGAAUCAUUUUAAAAAAAUUAAAAUUAAAAGAAAAAAGAAGAAGAAAGAGAGGUGAAAUUAUAGGAUGUGAGAAAUGAGGGGAAAGAAAAGAGUGAUAAUUAGAAGAAAAAAAAGAGAAAAAGAAAAGAAGAAGAAAAAAGAAGA